Long non-coding RNA from Gambusia affinis (western mosquitofish), 474 nucleotides. RefSeq lists it as uncharacterized. Lineage: Eukaryota; Metazoa; Chordata; Actinopteri; Cyprinodontiformes; Poeciliidae. The transcript is spliced from 2 exons. The record is from RefSeq and is a predicted model, not a curated record.
CAGAUUGAUAAGAAUGAGUGGGCGACUCCAGAUGUCUUCAGUCCCGAGCAUUUCUUGGAUUCAGAGGGCAAGUUUGUCAAGAGAGAUGCUUUCUUGCCAUUUUCAGCAGGUAAACGUAUGUGUUUGGGGGAACACCUGGCCAAAAUGGAGCUCUUCGUCUUCUUUUCAGUGUUGCUGCAACGCUUCACCUUUGCUCCGGUUCCUGGAGAAAUGCCCAGCCUGGAGGGCGUGAUGGGCUUCACUCAUUCCCCCGCGGAGUUCAGACUCCUGGCUGUGCCGCGCUGACAUGUGUUUCACAUUCUUCUCAUUGGGACAACAGUGCUGUGUUAAAAAUGUUUUAAUUGCUCUGAUGAUGUCUUCUAAUCAUAAAUGUCAGUUUUUUUUAUUGGUUGUGCGCAGGAAAUCCUUAUAAUUCACUGAAUUUGACUACAUAUCAUAACGUUUGGUAGUUUAAAGUGUCAAUAGAAAAACCAC